GGCACUUUGGCGGAGUGGUUAACGCGCUGCCCUGCUAAGGCAGUUCCCUCGGGAGCGAGUGUUCGAAUCACUCAGGUGUCG
Molecule: transfer RNA, 81 nt
Filed under: Pestalotiopsis fici W106-1
Lineage: Eukaryota; Fungi; Ascomycota; Sordariomycetes; Amphisphaeriales; Sporocadaceae
Description: tRNA-Ser (GCT) (tRNA-Ser-GCT-4-1)
Rfam family: tRNA
About the family: Transfer RNA (tRNA) molecules are approximately 80 nucleotides in length. Their secondary structure includes four short double-helical elements and three loops (D, anti-codon, and T loops).
Source: RNAcentral